CCUACGGCAUCAGCAGUGGGGAAUAUUGGACAAUGGGCGAAAGCCUGAUCCAGCCAUGCCGCGUGUGUGAAGAAGGCCUUCGGGUUGUAAAGCACUUUCAGUGGGGAAGAAAGCCUUGGGGCUAAUACCCUCGAGGAAGGACAUCACCCACAGAAGAAGCACCGGCUAACUCCGUGCCAGCAGCCGCGGUAAUACGGAGGGUGCGAGCGUUAAUCGGAAUUACCGGGCGUAAAGCGCGCGUAGGCGGUCUGAUAAGCCGGUUGUGAAAGCCCCGGGCUCAACCUGGGAACGGCAUCCGGAACUGUCAGGCUAGAGUGCAGGAGAGGAAGGUAGAAUUCACGGUGUAGCGGUGAAAUGCGUAGAGAUCGGGAGGAAUACCAGUGGCGAAGGCGGCCUUCUGGACUGACACUGACGCUGAGGUGCGAAAGCGUGGGUAGCAAACAGGAUUAGAUACCCCAGUAGUC
This 464-nucleotide ribosomal RNA is filed under the name Vreelandella stevensii. RNAcentral's name for it is "partial 16S ribosomal RNA". It matches the Rfam family "Bacterial small subunit ribosomal RNA", at positions 338 to 795 of the family's 1533-position model. The record is from RNAcentral. Lineage: Bacteria; Pseudomonadati; Pseudomonadota; Gammaproteobacteria; Oceanospirillales; Halomonadaceae.